CAAAAUGUGACCCCUCUCCCACUUUGUAUAUGAUAUUGCGUUAUCGAACCCCCUUAUUUACUAGUUCUAUCACGGUGAGGGAAAAUACCAUGCCCAAAAUUGUAACGAAAAACAGACAUUUCUGUGAUAAAUUCAAAAAUGGUAAACCGCUUUUGCCGAUGUUCCCGCAUUAAUAUUACGUUUCGUUCUCCCUGUGAUUGAAUAAAGCAGGCCAUGAAAUCAAAACUUGCUAACUCACCAGGCCAAUGAGAAGAUCGUGUGCCUAAUUACAAGGCAAUGGCUGACGGUGGUUGUUGUUGGUUGAAAUAUUUGUAUGCAUUUUGUUUGUAAAAGUAUUGUUAUUUUAUUUCAUUUUGUAUAUGUGUUGUUACAUCACCGAAAAUGAACAACCACAACAUGACACUGAAUUUCAGUGAAAUAUGCCGCCUUUGUUUGCUAAAAGAAGGCGAAAUGUCAUCUAUUUUUGCAGUACCUCUUCCGAAACGGAUUAUGUCAUUUGUAUCUUUUGAGAUAUUUGAAGGAGAUGGUCUUCCAGCAUUGAUUUGUCAACAGUGCUGCCAUGAAGUAGAUAGAUCGUACAAGUUUAAGAUGAAGUGUGAAACUUCUGAUGCGAUGCUGAAGCAGUACAUUAAGAAAUCCCCUGACAACUCAGAAGAUGAGGGUGUUACUGAGAAUACAGGUAUGAAGGAAGAGAGUCCAGAUGAGGAUAGUCAUGAUACAGGAAUGAAGGAAGACAGUCAAGAUGAAGAUAGCUGCGACAAAACAGAAAGUUCUGGCAACUUGCCCAAGUUCAGAAAUAUUGUUCCACGCAGAGAGCAAGCAAGUACGUCACAGUCUGAAAAAAUUGUUAUACUGUGCAAUGUAGAUGCUUUUGGAAAUGGUUUAACUGCACUGCAAACACCAUUUGCAAAUGACGCCUCUCGGAAAGAAGAUAAAAAGAAACGAAGGAGAGGAACAAUUCAAAGAGUAACUAGGAAAACACGUUUAAGAAGGUUGGUUAAAAAUAAAAAGACUUUGUCUACACAAGGUACAGCUUACCAACCACAACCCCUGCCAUCACUACCAUCAGUGUUGAAGAAUGACAUGGAAAUGGAAGAGGAAGACGACAUUCUUGGUGAAGACAAACCACCAUUUAUUUGUAAGAUCUGUUCAAAAUCAUUUUCAAAGCGUGACAAUUUGAAGAAACAUGAAAUAAUUCAUCGAGGGGAAAAACCAUAUUUAUGUGAGGAGUGUGGGAAGUCAUUUGCUCGGAAACAGGACCUAAAUGUGCAUAGGCGGUAUCAUUCCGGAGUACGACCGUACGCGUGUAGCCUCUGUGAUAAGACUUUCCACAGUUACUCUGGUCUUAAGAGUCAUGAGAACAGACAUAAUGGUAUCAAACCUUUUCUUUGUAAUGCGUGUGGCAAAACUUUUGUCCAGAAAAGCCAGCUCACAAAUCAUGAAAGAGUACAUACGCAGGAGAAGCCUUAUGCAUGUACACUUUGUGAGAAGACUUUUACGACACUUACGAAUCUCAAGACACACCAGAAACGGCACUCAGGGAUUAACGAUUUUUCCUGCGGUUCGUGCGGGAGGACAUUCUUCACAAAAUCAGGUCUUGAGAGGCAUGAGCUGCUUCAUACUGGACAUAAGGCCUUUCCUUGUGAGCUAUGUGAGCUUUCCUUCUUUACUAAGUCUGAGAUCACAAGACAUAUGCGUUAUCAUAAGGGUGAAAAGCGCUUUACGUGUAUGCAGUGUAACAAAUCAUUCAUUGAAAACCAGCAUCUUAUAAUCCAUGAACGAAUACACACAGGAGAACGUCCUUACUUGUGUCAAUUGUGCAAAAAAUCAUUCUACACCAAGUCGAAACUCAAUCGACACAUGCGUACACAUGUCAGUAGGUCCUAGUUGAAGAUCUACUGUAUGUAUAAAUGGAAGGAUAAGAACUGGAUCCCUGGAGGAAGGUACGAGUGAAGUCAGUGAGUAACAGAAUGAGGCACAGGUUCUUAAAAUUUAAUAUCACGUGCUUGAGAAAUCAGAAUUUGAGAACCUUAUCUUUUCCAAUAAUUUCUUCUUCCAGACACUGGUUUCGUGUGGCCAAUUUCAAUCAGAUAUCCUUUACACAUAUGUUAGCUUUCUGAAAGAAACAAUGUGAUUUAAUUUAAGGCCUGCAAGAUCCUGGGCUUUGUCUGAUGUUUGAGUAGCGCACAUGAUAUUCAGUCUUGGUACAGUUGCAUAACUUUUGGCAUCGACAAAAAUGAAUUUACAAAAUAAGAUUUACCAUGUUAUAUUGGUACUGAAAGGAUAAGAAACUUUUUUUUUAGUGUUUGGACCUUUCUCUCUUGUAUGAAAGAGAUAAGAAAUGCAUACAAAUUUUUAGCCUGUAAAUCUGAAGGGAAUAUACCACAUUGGAGAUCUAGGUGUAGAUGGUGGGAUAAUAUUAAAAUGGAUAUUGAAUAAAUAGGGUAUUAGUAUGUAUAUUGGAUUAUCUGGCUCAGGAUGGGUCCAGUAGCUGGCUCAUGUGAACACAAUUAUGAAUUUUAAGGUUCCAUAAAAAUGGAAAAUUUAUUAACAAUUUGAGUGACUGUUGGUUUCCCAAAUACUCUGUUCUAUUGAAUUGGUUACAAACUUAAAAUUUGCCAAAGUGAAAAGGUUGUGUCUAAUUUUGAAACAUUUGAAUUUAAUCUUGUUUUUGUAAGGUAUGCAAUAAAAUCCAUGCUCACCAUGAAUUUUGACAACAUUAAAGCGAGAGUAAAAAGUGGCAAAUAUGUUCUGACAAUAAACAAGAAAAGACUAGCAGAAAUGUCAGUAAGCUGUGCAAAAGAAGUUUUGGCUGUGAACUACACGAAACUAUAUUGAAAUUGGUGAGUCACAGCAUCAUGUAUCAUUAGUUGUGUUUGAUUUGACUUACAUAUUGGGUUUAACUGGUUUAGGUUAGUGAUAAUGCAAUCAACUCAUAUUAUUGCAAUAUUCACAUUAAAUUUCUGGCCUGGUAAUACUGACCUGAGUUUCUAAGGGAUUAUUUAAUCAGUCCCUGAAGAAAACGCCAGGAAAUUAUUUUACUUGAUUGCCGUUAAUAACAUGAGACUUUUUUUCAGAAUUUAUUUAAAAUCAUUGGCAGAUUGAUUCAUAAAAUGGCGUGUUUCAUCAUGGCGCACAGCCAGUGUCAUUAUAGAUACCAGAAGCAGGUUAAUAUGGAAAUGGUUUUGUUUGUCCGGUGCAGGUAAUGUAUUGAAGGUAAUUGGGCGGCACAAAGUAAAUUUCUAAGCUAUGGGCCAUGCUGACCUCCAGCAUAGUCAUCCUUCUGAAGUAUGCAGUAGGAAAGAACUAAAAAAACAAUAUUUAUUGAAAUAAAUUCCUACUUCUCACAAGUUUUUUAAUUUUAUUUAUGUCAAAGGAGUAUUGGUACAAAAUAUCUGUGAUUGCAGAUUCAUUGUAGUUAAAUCCCUGAUAUAUUUAAUAUACAGUGGGUUUGAGGAAUUCAGCUUGGGGACCACUGCAGUAAGGGGAAAAAUAUCUUCAUCAUUAGUCUCCAAAGCAUGCUUUUUUAUAUGUGACUGAUAAAUUUUUAGUGGUGAUUUUAUUUUUAGCAAUUGAAUAUUUAAAGGGCAGGGUUGUUUUGAAUUGUGCGUAUCAGAAUCUGUCUAUAGAAAAGUCCUGUGAAACAUAUCACAUGUACGUGGGAGAGAAGGAAAAUGUAUAAAAUAUGUGGUCAUAUAACCUGAAUGGAAGUGACCACUUGGAAGACCUAGACAUGGAUGGAAGGAUAAUAUAGAACUUUGUGUUAAAGAAUUUUGAUGUGAGGAUAUGGAUUGGAUACAUCUGGCUCAGGAUAGGGACAAGUGGCUGGCUAUCAUGAAUGCGUUGGAAAUUGGAGUUUUUAUAAAUGGUGGAUCAUUUCUUGAAGACGUGAAUAACUGUUAGCAUCUCAAGAAGCAUUCUGCUCCGUAAAGUUAAUCUGAAUGUGCAAAUAUUUUGUUUGAGACCGAAAUAAUGGUAUUUGUAAUAAAAUAAAAUAUAUAUUGUCCAUGGAUCAUAAACUAAUUUCCAUGAUCUGUGAGAUUUGUUACAGACAGAUAUGUUUAGCUUUACCACUGCCUUGGUGUUACAUUUACAUGGAUAAAAUGUUGGCCUUUUAAUGUGUUUGGCACUCAGUUUACUCUCCUUGCUUUUUGAUAGAGGUGUAACAAAUUUAUAUGUUGGAUACCUGUAACAAGCAAUUUUAUUGUAAUUUAUAUAUUAAAUAAAAUAUGUAUUUGCUUUUUA
This is a non-coding RNA of Zootermopsis nevadensis, 4245 nucleotides long. The record is from RefSeq and is a predicted model, not a curated record. NCBI's taxonomy places the organism in Eukaryota, Metazoa, Arthropoda, Insecta, Blattodea, Termopsidae.